Molecule: long non-coding RNA, 1100 nt
Filed under: Homo sapiens (human)
Lineage: Eukaryota; Metazoa; Chordata; Mammalia; Primates; Hominidae
Description: HSALNT0211917
Source: RNAcentral
CUUUCCUUAACCUGCAAAGGCAGAGCACAUGCUUACCCAGACCCUGAUACGAUCCUGGACCAGGCAGAAGCAGCGUCCUUCUCCUGGAGGAGCUUGGAGCAGCAGCAGGAGGCAGGCAUUACACCCCGAUAAGCAUGCAGAGUUCUGAAGAGGAAGCUCGCAGCCUCACUCACUCCAGGCUUUUCCUCUGGACCUGAGCUCUGAUACCCACUGCAUUGUCAGAAUCAGAGCAAAUCUGGAGGCCAGAGAGCAAGACCAGCAAAGCCAGGAUCUCUGGGGUAAUUAGGCCCGCCUUGCCCACAGGUGCUCCACAGGUGGUCUCAGCUCCCAGCAAUGACCCAGGAGAAGCCCACGGGAACCCUCAGCUGCAACCAAUCCUCCAGACUGCUGGCCUGCCUGCCUUCCUGAAAUAGUCCAGAUUUCACUUAUUAAACAUAUUAAUCUGAAGUUAACAAUUUGUGCUUGUUUCACUAAAUGGCUUGAAGAGAAGAAUGCAAGGAAGAAGAAUUUGAUUUGAUGGGAAGGCUUAACCCCGAUGGACUAAGCGGCCUUCAUAUUCUGACUUUAAAAUAACUGGAAAUGGAGGGACUAUUCACAGAAGUGGAGAGUCAAAGGGUAAACCUAACUGGAGUUAAAGAAACACAAACAAAACCCAUCCCCUUCUUGGCCCCAACCUGCCAUGUGACUCUAAGGACAUUGCUUACUGCAGUGACAGCAUUUUAAACAGCUGCCCAGAGGGGUUUUAAAUAGACUUGAUGUAAUUCAAUGAUUUAUAGAGCAUGGGUUACCAAAAUAUUAAAGUUCUGAAAUAUCCCUAAACCAAGACCAUGGCCCUGCCAUUACCCACUCUGAACCGAAUCAUUCUCUGCUGUUGGAGUGUGGUGCAUGUGGCUUCUUCAGAAAACUGCGGCUGCUCUAAAUGAAUGGCCAGAAAAAGAUAAAUAGCCUCUGAUGCAUAGAUGUGACCUUCCAUAUGAAAACACACUCUCCCGGUCUUCGGCAACUCAGUCCGUGGAAAGCACCAAUCUUCAGAAAACAAGCCAGACAGUUAUUUUUUAAUUGCUUAUCAAAUCUAAGUAUUCAAGGAAAUUGCAGUGGGG